RNAcentral lists this long non-coding RNA (1075 nucleotides) under Equus caballus (horse). Its description in RNAcentral is "lncRNA (ENSECAG00000045142.1)". Lineage: Eukaryota; Metazoa; Chordata; Mammalia; Perissodactyla; Equidae. The record is from RNAcentral.
CGACAGCACGUCUCUCCAUGUAACUAAAUAUGGUGCUCUGAUUUAGUUACAGAUAAUAACAGCUCCUUGUUGCACACCAGUGCAUCAGGGCUGGCACUACGCACUCUACAUGUGUCAUCGCUGAUCCUCAUAAGAGCCCGUUUUACAGAUGGGGGCGCCAAGUUCAUCAUUUUCAAGGUUUGUACGUCCAGGUGUCAUAGUGAAAAGUUCGUCAGUCAUCAGCACACAAGGUACGCGGAAUGCCCAGGCGGUGUCCAGCUUGAGAAGGCUGUGCGUCAACACCUGACGGAUGUAGGUGCCUGUGCAUCCUCAGACAUUCUGCUGAGCAGGCAAACGAAGAACAUACCUGGAAAAGAUAUUUCCAUAUGGCCGCUGUGUAGCAGUUGAAUUGGCUUGACUCAUAAAUUCUUUAAAUAGCAAGUGGCAAUAACCCAGAUGACCUUUUAAUGUUCCAUUAAUUCUUCCAUCCGUUCAUUGUUCUGAGAUUUAUAACAAUGGAACUCCUGAGUGCCUAGCACAUGACAUAAUGGAAGGAAGAGAACCCCGCAACUUUGAAAGCUGGGGAUUAAGUUCAGGUUUUGGAAUGCUGAAUGAAAUGAAAGCUGGUUCAAACUUGCUGAAAGGAAUGCUGGAACGUCUAUGGACUCAGGAACCCCCGAGGUGCCUCCAAGCGGCUUCUCUUACCCCCAUCCUCAGAUUUGCAAUGCUGGGAUCCAAGUCACCUUCAAGACCACUUCAUUCAUCUUGACCAAGCCCUUAAAUGUUUGAGAAGUCUGCAUCAAAUAAUGUCUGAUGAAAGCUGAACACUCUUCCCAGUGCUACGUCCGUGGUCUGGCUCGUGUGACCCACGUGAUAGACACACCUGAGGAAAUGCAUGUCCUGUGAUUGUCGGGUGGCACCGGUUUGGUUCCUGAUGUUUCCAGAGAUAAAACAAUAUCCUCAAGGAGAAACAGGACGGGGCUUUUGUUCCCAUUUAGGCCAUGAUUAUUUUCUAUUAGGAGCUGGACAGUUUCAUAAACAGAGGGACUUAUCGACACAGCUCCCGCCAAAGCCCUCAACUGUGCUUCUAACCACG